RNAcentral lists this long non-coding RNA (1948 nucleotides) under Lactuca sativa (garden lettuce). RNAcentral describes it as "long non-coding RNA (LSAT_LNC004513)". The record is from RNAcentral. Lineage: Eukaryota; Viridiplantae; Streptophyta; Magnoliopsida; Asterales; Asteraceae.
CCGAAAUUUGAACUUAGGCAAGGAGUGGGCAUGAACAAUCGAGCCAUGAUGUGGGGAUACUUCCUAAUCGACUGAUUCUCGCGCCUCCAAGUGACUCCAGGUCCUUGGUUAGUAUUCCUGCGAACUUUCACUAAUGGGGAGCAGCGUUGCUGCGUUCGCUUAACCUUUCGGUCCAUGGUCACUAUGGUUCUUUCACGAAGGUGAGGCUCUUGUGGAACUCGAUUUCGUCGAGGAGGAUUACAAGAGUCUCGUCGAAUAGAUACUUCUGCAAGUUCGGGACACGUCGGGUAGAAUGUACUUUACCAAACUCGCGGGAGUAGAUUGAAGUUGCGAUUACAAGGCUGAUUCUUACAAGAAUCUCGAAAGGCAUAAUUAUCUGGGGUUUUGGCUUUCCACGCUCUCCAAAGCGUACUAAACCUGCCCAGAGUGAGGUUUCCAGAGGAAUUUGGUCUCUUAUUCUGGAGUUCCAAAGGUUUCUUCCUUUUGCUUUUCUUUCCAGUCAAGGGUUGCUCCUUUAUGGUCAAAGUCGUAAGGGGAUUCUGAAAUUUACGAGAAGUCCCAAAGGGACUAAGACGGUAAGUCAGCGAGACCUGAAAGUUUUGGGGUAUUCCUACUGACGUCUUUUGCGCUGACUGUUUUCUCAACGGUUUCGAUCAAUUGAAAGAGUCCUUAAGGAUUUCCACAUUGAUAAGGAUGUGUCUUAGGAAUUUGAGUCCUCAAUUCCAAAACUCGUAUCUAGAGAACUUCGGGUAAAGUUUCUCUGAUCGCAUUGCUUUCGCGGUUUGUUGUAGCUGCUCUCCCUGGUUUCCUUCUUACUAUGAGGGUAGAUAAGCAAGUCACUUACAAUGACAACGACGAACUGAUCCUAGUAAGAAUGGCACAUCCUAUGAAUACUGCGAACGGGUUGGUCCUAUCCGAGGGGUAUCACUACGGACUUGCAGCGUCCGCAUCGAAUUUGGAGGGUUGUCCUCGGACAUCCUUUUCCAAUACUCGCGAAUGGUGAUAUUCAGAUCUCAGGUCCGAUACCUGAAGGAUACCUCUUUCCUUGUGGUUGGUCGGCCUAUUCGUUUAUGCGAGGCAGGUAGUAAAGGUUUCUACUGAAGAUAUUGUCGGGGCCUCUGAAGUUGAUGGAACUAUGAGCAAUUUGCCUUUCUAUUUGAAGAAUAAGAUCAGAUGUUUUCCAGGGUGAGAAGCUUGGUUCUUCAAUUUCCUUUUUGAGUAGUUCGACAGGUUUGGACCUGAUAGUUUUUGUAGCUCGGUAGGAAACAUGUGGGUUUGGUUUACACGACUAGGCCUUCUUAGAUGGUAGGACAUUUAUUCGUCCCUCUGGGCAACCUUGGCCCGAAGUUCAAGGUAGGACUCGUAUCCAGUCUAUUUAUCAUUAACUUGCACAUAUAGGUCGUAUGCGUUUAAGAUUGGCAAGGUAGUUGGAUGGGUGACUCUGCCCCAAAUAAACAACCAGACAUGGAAUAGGAAAUAAGGCGGAAACACCCAUCCGAUGUCUGUAGAAUCUUAAUUAUACAUUAUCCUCGCGUAUACACGUAGUAGUGGUAAACUAACCAUAUUCGUCCCAAGCUUCUGUGCUUGAACCUUGUCCGCUACAUGCGUGACAUUCCCGAAAGUCUCCUGUAAAUACUUGUGGUAGGUUUUCAGGAAGUGUAACACUUCUCUGGUGCGUGCUUUGGGAUCUAACCACGAGAGAUGAACCGGAGAUACAUGCUAGGUUCUUAUGUGAGGAAAAGGUCACGACAUUCGGAGGGUUAGGUGAAAAGCCCUUUUGUAGAUGUUAAAUCGGGAAGGUGAGGAUUAUACUUAAUUGAAAUUGAAUGGAGACGACCAAAUCUUUUUAGAUAACAUGAGCCAGGCUGUACUUAUAAGAAGAGAUCACUAAAGUGAUGGAGUAUCUUGUGUUUCUUUUUAGGGUGAUCCAUUUUGUUUGAUGUUAUCA